AAAUUGAGCCUAUCAAACGUGUUUAACCAGCCAACGUGUUUAACCAACAUGUUUAACCAACCAACCAACCAACCAACCAACCAACCAACCAAUCAACCAAUCAAUGCAUGUUUCCGUUUCAUGUGUUAAAUACGGGAUCCAAGAUGUUUUUUUUCGCUUGUUUAAAUUGAGCCUUUCAAACGUGUUUAACCAGCCAACGUGUUUAACCAACGUGUUAAACCAACAUGUUUAACCAACGUGUUUAACCAACCAACCAACCAAUCAAUCACUUAAUGUAUGUUUCCGUGUCAUGCGUUUAAUACGGGAUGCAAGGUCUCUUGAGGUCUUUUUCCCCUUGUUCUAAGUGACCCUAUCAAACGUGUUUAAUCAACCAACCUACCAACAAACCAACCAACCAACCAAUCAAUCAACCAACCAACUAAUCAAUCAAUCAAUAUGUAUGACUGUUUAUUUAUGACAGUUUAUUGAAGGAACAAACUCUCAAUUAUUCAAGAAAAUUUUUAUUUUAUUAUUGUUCUUACGUCUCUUCUGAAAAAAAAUCCACAUAUUCUCUGAAACUACAAGUCCAAUCGACCUGAAAAUUUGCAGUCAGCAGGGCAUACAUGUACUGAAGGUUCAUAAAAAAACUUGGUGCAGAUAUCUCUCAAGACUUUUCCUAGAGAAAAAGAAAUGGCAAUGCCGUAAAAAUCGCUUGCUAGGUCCGUCAAUCUCAGUAAAAACCUACAAUAAAAUGUCCGCUCCGAGAUUGAAAUACUAAUCUGUGUUACAAACAGGUGCUGAAAAAUGGACAUUAUCAAAAAAUAAUCAUUAAAUGUGUAUUAAAGUUACACCGGAACAAUUAAAUCCAAAACAUGCACUGCUGGUGAACUGUGAUCAAAAUGUCAAUUUCCUACAAUGACAAAAGAAAUUACAUUGUGUACAUUCCAUCUCUAGACAUGUUGUCUGUUCAAGGUCCCGACCUAAAAAGAAAUAAAAAGACUAAGUUUUCGUUAUUAUAAACCCAAGUCACGUGAUGUCUCCUCAAUCUUGCGCGCGCGCUGUAUCUAAAAUAAAAGAAAAACUUUCCAAACUAAACAUGAAACUUCUCCGGUAACAUAAUAAUAUAGACCCUUUACAAAAACAAACAAACAAACAAAAACAAAUACCCCCCCCCCCCCCCCCAAAUCAAUCAUGUUUUAAAGGGGGAAAGACUGUCUACAAUUGCUUUUAGAAAGCAAUUGAUUUAUAUUUAUUAUUAUUAAGUCUUUCCACUUUUCUGUGGAAAGACUUAUUGUUUUUGUUCUGAUUAUUAAGUCUUUCCACUUUUCUGUGGAAAGACUUAUUGUUUUUGUUCUGAUUAUUAAGUCUUUCCACUUUUCUGUGGAAAGACUUAUUGUAUUUCUUCUGAUUAUUAUUAUUUUUUUUUUUUUUUCUUCCGCCAAAUUUUGUUCUUGCGAUAAAUGUUUGUUUCGCAAUAUGUCGCUUAGAUAUUUCUCAUAUUGUAUCGUAUAGUUUAUGCGCUUUUAAAUUUCACCCUGCUAAGCCGAACCAUUUUCUUUGUAAGAGUUAUCUCCCUAUUCACUGUUUAUCAUGUGUGUGCAUCUCCUUCGUAACAAAAAAAGAUAGCGACAAAAUUCUUUUUACAAAUUGUUCGUUACAUCCUCAGAAAAUUUUGGCUAAUUUGGAUCGAAGCGAUUCGAUGAAAUUUUAUAGGAGUUAUCUAUCUUUACGGAAUAAAUUUGUCGGUAUGUUUUUUUAACUCAUAAACCGUUAACCGUAUAACCCUGGAAUGUUUUUAUUUGAGUCCCCUAGGUCCUAACUUAGAAAAUUAGGUCAAGGUCAAAGGUCAAGGUCAAGUUCUCAAUUGUGACUUUUGCUUGUUUUUGCAUUUUCUCCCUCACUUUGAGAGAUACAUAUAAAAGAACAAGUGCAAAAUGUCUGCUUAAUUGUAAUGGAGAUAUGCUACAUUUAGUCUUAUACUAUUAAAUGGCAUCUUAUAGGAGUUGUUGCCCCUGAAAUGUCUUGAUAUGAGGUUAUUUGAUUAUAACUUCAAGUAAGUUCAUUAUAAAGACAUUUGACCUUAUAUAAAAGGUUAAGUGACAAAUGACCUUGAAAAAUGGCUACCGGAAGUGACCUUGAGAAAACCGGAAGUAGCUUUUUUUUCAGUUUUUU
Molecule: long non-coding RNA, 2151 nt
Filed under: Mytilus galloprovincialis (Mediterranean mussel)
Lineage: Eukaryota; Metazoa; Mollusca; Bivalvia; Mytilida; Mytilidae
Source: RNAcentral